GACGAACGCUGGCGGCGUGCUUAACACAUGCAAGUCGAACGGAACGGCCCUGCUUUUGUGGGGUGGUCGAGGUGCGAACGGGUGAGUAACACGUGAGUAAGCUGUCCCUGACUUUGGGAGAACUUCAUGAAACUUGGGCUAAUAGCAGCUAGGAUCUCUUGCUGCAGGGUGGGCGUUGGAAAGUUUCGGCGGUUGGGGGUGGACUCGCGGCGUAUGAGCUUGUUGGUUGGGUAGUGGCUUACCAAGGCUUUGACCGGUAGCCGGCCUGAGAGGGUCACCGGCCACAUUAGGACUGAGAUACGGCACAGCCUACUCCGGGACGCAGCGGUGGAGAGUAUUACACAGUGCGCGGGAGCAUGGUGUGGUCCAGCAGCGUGGGGGAAGAGGGGCUUCGCGUUGUGAACCGAUUUCCCCUGUGCCGAGGCGAGAGUGACGGUACUGGGUAAAGAAGCACCGGCUAACUACGUG
This 468-nucleotide ribosomal RNA is filed under the name uncultured bacterium. RNAcentral describes it as "partial 16S ribosomal RNA". It matches the Rfam family "Bacterial small subunit ribosomal RNA", at positions 28 to 507 of the family's 1533-position model. The record is from RNAcentral.